UGAUGUCCACCACAUUAAAAAUGACUCUCGGCAACGGAUAUCUCGGCUCUUGCAUCGAUGAAGAACGUAGCGAAAUGCGAUACUUGGUGUGAAUUGCAGAAUCCCGUGAACCAUCGAGUCUUUGAACGCAAGUUGCGCCCAAAGCCAUUUGGUUGAGGGCACGCCUGCCUGGGUGUCGCG
Molecule: ribosomal RNA, 180 nt
Filed under: Memecylon infuscatum
Lineage: Eukaryota; Viridiplantae; Streptophyta; Magnoliopsida; Myrtales; Melastomataceae
Description: 5.8S ribosomal RNA
Rfam family: 5.8S ribosomal RNA (bases 23-178)
About the family: 5.8S ribosomal RNA (5.8S rRNA) is a component of the large subunit of the eukaryotic ribosome.
Source: RNAcentral